CGCGGGUAGGCCAAGCGGUAAGGCCGAGGACUCAAUAUCCGCAGAAGCCGGUUCAACUCCGGCACCCGCUACCA
Molecule: transfer RNA, 74 nt
Filed under: marine sediment metagenome
Description: tRNA-Leu
Rfam family: tRNA
About the family: Transfer RNA (tRNA) molecules are approximately 80 nucleotides in length. Their secondary structure includes four short double-helical elements and three loops (D, anti-codon, and T loops).
Source: RNAcentral